RNAcentral lists this long non-coding RNA (727 nucleotides) under Solanum tuberosum (potato). Its description in RNAcentral is "long non-coding RNA (STUB_LNC000734)". The record is from RNAcentral. Lineage: Eukaryota; Viridiplantae; Streptophyta; Magnoliopsida; Solanales; Solanaceae.
ACAUGAUUUUAAGUGCUAAAAUGUCUCAUUCAUAUUUAGAAAAAUGAUUAUUUAGACAAAGCUUGGUUAUACUUGAAGGAGUAAACAAAAUUUAGAAUCGAAACUCCCCAAACUUUAAGUGAAAUCUGACUUUCGUAAUAAUGAGGUUACGUAUGAAAUUUUAAAGAUGCAGAAACAUUGGUUUAAAUGUGAACGACACUUAGCGACAGAGAACAACGUAAAUCAGGCUAAACGUCGUAUGAAAUCAUGUUGCAGAACUUGAAAGCAGUAAUAUGAACAUGCCUUAUGCUUUUCCAAGUUGAUUCUAACUCAAGUUUAUAUUAACGAUAUGAGCAGCAGAAAUACAACAGAAUCACGACCGGCAUUCAAGUUAUGAUUCAAACCAACAGUGAUGAAAAUAUAGCUACACAGUUAGAACACUCAAAAUGGAGACUAAAUGAACAUCGACCAUUGCAAGCAAAGCAUAAAUUCAGCUAGUUAUAUGGAUACAAAAUCAAGUUGAUGAACAUAAUGAUCAACACAUAACAUUCAAACAACUCCACUGAUGCUUGACUUAUGCUUACUGCCCAGGGACAUAUAAAACGACAUUAAGGUAAGGGUUAAAACAGGGGAAUCAUAUACGCGUAACGAUAGAUUCUAUAUCAAGUGUUCAACACAUAACACGCUGCAUCGAAAUAAAAGAAUGUAGGAGGACGUGAAAUUACCUUUCUUGGAGCAGCAAACUAAA